GAUGAACGCUUGCGGCGUGCCUAAUACAUGCAAGUCGAGCGAACGGACGAGAAGCUUGCUUCUCUGAUGUUAGCGGCGGACGGGUGAGUAACACGUGGAUAACCUACCUAUAAGACUGGGAUAACUUCGGGAAACCGGAGCUAAUACCGGAUGAUAUUUUGAACCGCAUGGUUCAAAAGUGAAAGACGGUCUUGCUGUCACUUAUAGAUGGAUCCGCGCUGCAUUAGCUAGUUGGUAAGGUAACGGCUUACCAAGGCAACGAUGCAUAGCCGACCUGAGAGGGUGAUCGGCCACACUUGAACUGGGACCCGGUCCAGAACCCUACGGGAGGGAGCAGGAGGGAACCUUCCGCAAUGGGCGAAAGCCUGACGGAGCAACGCCGCGUGAGUGAUGAAGGUCUUCGGAUCGUAAAACUCUGUUAUUAGGGAAGAACAUAUGUGUAAGUAACUGUGCACAUCUUGACGGUACCUAAUCAGAAAGCCACGGCUAACUACGUG
This 497-nucleotide ribosomal RNA is filed under the name uncultured bacterium. RNAcentral describes it as "partial 16S ribosomal RNA". It matches the Rfam family "Bacterial small subunit ribosomal RNA", at positions 28 to 507 of the family's 1533-position model. The record is from RNAcentral.